AAUAAGUGCAAACAUAAGUUUCCGUGUCCAACUUUUGAUCGUCCAUCUUAUUUAAAAAAUUUUUAUGAUUAGUAUUUUUAUUGUUAUUAGAUUAUAAAACAUGAAUAUUACUUUAUGCGUGACUUAUUUUUUUAGUUUUCUCAAAAAAAAUUUAAAUAAAACGAACGAUUGAAGUUGGGCACGGAAACUCAUGGCUGCGCUUAUU
Non-coding RNA from Oryza nivara, 205 nucleotides. Lineage: Eukaryota; Viridiplantae; Streptophyta; Magnoliopsida; Poales; Poaceae. The record is from Rfam.